UGACUGCGUACCUUUUGUAUAAUGGGUCAGCGACUUAUUGUCUGUAGCAAGCUUAACCGUUUAGGGGAGGCGUAGGGAAACCGAGUCUUAAUAGGGCGCAUAGUUGCAGGCAAUAGACCCGAAACCGGGCGAUCUAUCCAUGGCCAGGUUGAAGGUGCCGUAACAGGCACUGGAGGACCGAACCCACUAACGUUGAAAAGUUAGGGGAUGAGCUGUGGAUCGGAGUGAAAGGCUAAUCAAGCUCGGAGAUAGCUGGUUCUCCUCGAAAUCUAUUUAGGUAGAGCGUCGUGUCUUACCCUGGGGGGUAGAGCACUGUUUGGGCUAGGGGGUCAUCC
Molecule: ribosomal RNA, 335 nt
Filed under: Alexandrium tamarense
Lineage: Eukaryota; Dinophyceae; Gonyaulacales; Pyrocystaceae
Description: partial Bacterial large subunit ribosomal RNA
Rfam family: Bacterial large subunit ribosomal RNA
Source: RNAcentral